GCAAUGCCGCGUGAGUGAUGAAGGCCUUCGGGUCGUAAAGCUCUUUUACCAGGGAUGAUAAUGACAGUACCUGGAGAAUAAGCUCCGGCUAACUCCGUGCCAGCAGCCGCGGUAAUACGGAGGGAGCUAGCGUUGUUCGGAAUUACUGGGCGUAAAGAGUACGUAGGCGGUUAUUCAAGUCAGAGGUGAAAGCCCGGGGCUCAACCCCGGAACUGCCUUUGAAACUAGAUAACUAGAGUCUUGGAGAGGUUAGUGGAAUUCCGAGUGUAGAGGUGAAAUUCGUAGAUAUUCGGAAGAACACCAGUGGCGAAGGCGACUAACUGGACAAGUACUGACGCUGAGGUACGAAAGCGUGGGGAGCAAACAGGAUUAGAUACCCUGGUAGUCCACGCCGUAAACGAUGAUAACUAGUUGUUCGGUCACUUGGUGACUGAGUGACGCAGCUAACGCAUUAAGUUAUCCGCCUGGGGAGUA
This 474-nucleotide ribosomal RNA is filed under the name Novosphingobium sp. RNAcentral describes it as "bacterial SSU rRNA". It matches the Rfam family "Bacterial small subunit ribosomal RNA", at positions 391 to 882 of the family's 1533-position model. The record is from RNAcentral. Lineage: Bacteria; Pseudomonadati; Pseudomonadota; Alphaproteobacteria; Sphingomonadales; Sphingomonadaceae.